Molecule: signal recognition particle RNA, 100 nt
Filed under: Granulicatella sp. zg-84
Lineage: Bacteria; Bacillati; Bacillota; Bacilli; Lactobacillales; Carnobacteriaceae
Also listed under: 3 other names
Description: signal recognition particle sRNA small type
Rfam family: Bacterial small signal recognition particle RNA
About the family: The signal recognition particle (SRP) is a universally conserved ribonucleoprotein involved in the co-translational targeting of proteins to membranes.
Source: RNAcentral
AUAUCGAAGUACGGCAAUGAGAAGCUUAUGAACCGAGUCAGAUCCGGAAGGAAGCAGCUAUAAAUAGGAUUUCUCAUGUGCUGUACUUUUUUGCGGAAAC